Non-coding RNA from Chrysemys picta bellii (western painted turtle), 3275 nucleotides. The record is from RefSeq and is a predicted model, not a curated record. Lineage: Eukaryota; Metazoa; Chordata; Testudines; Emydidae.
CACCAUCUCUGGGUGGAGAGACCACUCGUGCUGAGAGGAGAAGUCCCUGCUCAAGCGAUCCGCCCGCGCGUUCCCGGCAGAUGGAAGGCCCGUAGGCAGAUGUCGUGGGCUAUACAAAAGUUCCACAGCCUGAGGGCUUCGCGGCAAAGGGCAGAGGAUUGGGUCCUGCCUUGCCUGUUGAUGUAGAACAUCAAGGCCGUGUUGUCUGUGAGGACCCAGACCACCCAGCCCUCCAGGUGCAAGCAGAAGGCUUUGCAUGCCAGCCGUACCACCCUGAGCUCCUUGACAUUUAUGAGGAGGGUCAGAUCCUGAGCUGAUCACAGACCUUGGGUCUGAAUGUUCUCCACAUGGGCCCCCCAUCCCAGGUCCAACGCAUCAGACACCAGUUCCAGCGAUGGGGCCCUGCCCCUGAACAGGACCCCUUGGAGCAUGUUUCUUGGGGCGGACCAUCACCGUAGGUAGAUGAUCACUGGCUCGGGCACUGUGAGCACAUUGUCCAUUCUGUCCCUGGCCUGGGAGAACUCUGAGGCCAAUCAGAGCUGGAGGGGCCUCAUCCUGAGUCUGGCGUGAUGGACCACAUACAUGCACGCCGACAUGUGACCCAAGAGCUGGAGGCACACUCUGGCUGUUGUCACCGGAAACCUUGUGGCCGUGUCUAUGAGCCCCUUCAGGAUCUCGAACCUGUCUGGUGGGAGGGAGGCUCUGGCCAACGAGGCGUGCAGGACCGCCCCGAUAAACUCUAUGCAUUGUACCGGGACUAAUGUGGACUUGGUGUUGUUUACCAACAGGCCCAAAGUGGUGCACGUGGACAGAAGGAGCGCCAAGUGAUCCCGCACCUGUGACGGGGAGCUUCCCUUGACGAACCAGUCAUCCAGAUAGGGGAAAAUCUGGAUCCCCUGGCACCUGAGGUACACGGAGGUGUGAUGCUGGUGGACCAGAUCAUGUUAGAAUGUAUUUGUCUCAAUUCACUUGUGUAUUAGUGCAGAUCAAAGUAAUGGUCAGUUGUAUAAGAGUGUAUUGUGUAGUUAAACUUCAUGAAAACUAAUGGGAUGUUAUUUGCAUGUUUUCACUUAUGUUCCUGUUAUAACGUAAUAACACACAUUUACUUUAUGUAUACCCCUGCAACUAAACAACCCAUCAAAGAAAUCUUGUGACACAAUAAUGAAGGACUUAAACAUAGAACGCUAAUUUCAAAGCAAGUGGCCAUUAUAUACAUGAUGGUCAGAGGUCAAAAGACUAGGUACAUUCCUCACUCACCAUCAUCAAAGGAAAAGCCCACAUGGGUAGAGACACUGUCAGCUUGCUUUCUAUAUGAUGAAACUAUAAAUAUGGAUUCAAAGAUCUGACUGGAUUGUUCCAGGGAAGUGUUUCAGAUGCAAAACAGAGAUCCCCAGAGACAAUCUGGGUACCCUGAGAGCCUUCUGGGAAACUGGCAGUUUAUUACAUCAUUAACAUCAUAUGGAAUUACAAACUGUGACUCACCUGUUAAUAUAUUUUACCUGCGUUAACCUCUCAAUAACUAAAUUCCUAUUGUUAGCUAAUAAACUUAUAGUUAGUUUCCUAUAGAAUUGGCUGCCAAUGUUGUCUUUGGUGUAAGUUCUGGAGUGCCAAUUGAUCUGGGAUAAGUGGCUAGUCUCUUGGUAUGGGUGUGAUUUUUGGUUUUAAUAACCUUUUACCACAAAGUUCAGUUUGUCUAGGUGGCAAGAUACCCUGGCGUCACAGACUGUCCCCUUAGACUUUCCAAUUUAAGACUGGUAUAAUGAUCUAGGAGUUUACAUUUGUUACUGGUGUGGUGAACUCUAAUUAUAGAACACACCACCAGCUUGGGAAAUCUGCCCUGUUUUCUGGCAGUUGGUCCUGAGAUAGACACUCAGUUAUGAGCCACUCCAGACAGUAUGACAGAAGGUUCUACAAACUGCACUCACUGCACUCACGAAUGACAAGCAAAAGUCCAAAAUACCAUUUUGGUGUCAGAAGAUUUUCCCUCUUUCUGACUCCCCGUAGGAAGCUUCCACAACAUUCAAAUAAAGAGGAGUGCUAGAAAUCCUUAAAGACUAAGCAAAUCAGUUACUGAUAACUUAAACUCCAAUGUUCCCAAUGUAGUGAAAGUUAAGAAUGAUUAAAUAGUUGGUGUGAAUCAAACAAUUACAUAUUCAUAAUAUUGGGGGGGAGGGGAGGAAGAGGUGGUGGUAAGUGAGAAAAGGAAGAGGUCCAAAAGUCAUGGCUUCAGGCAAGAGUAUCAAUCCUGUAAUACCUAAUGAAAGAAUCAUGGUAGACUGUAGCUUCAUAUUUUCCAGCAAGAUAAAAGGGGGGAGGGGAGAAGAGAGGCAGGAUGAGUUAAUGCUAGCCAGAUAAGGGUGAAAUUUUACAAAUCUAAGCUUUCUGAAGAAAACAAGUAAUAGUGAGAAAGUUGGUUAUUUAAUAAAUGGAGAUGAAAUUGACACAAAUGACUAAUACUACCUCUAAAAAUAAUGAUCAACAAAGAAAAUAUAGAAAACUGACUAAAUAGGAAAGAAAACCCUGUUAUUGAUAAAGAGAUAAGGAAAUUAACCACUCUGGAAAAUAUGGCUCAUACAGUAUUAACAGAAUUAAUUAAUGAACUUACUCUAUGUACCAUUGACCAUUAUUUUCUGAAAUGAAAUUCAGAUAACUGGGAAGUUUCAAAAGACUGGGAAAAAACAAAUGAAGUUUUCAAAAAAUAAAGUGAUCCUUGAAAUCCAUAUAUUGAAUUUCUAUUCCUAACAAUGGAACAGAUGGGGACAAAUUCAUGAAAUAGCUACAGAACAACAGGACCAUAAAUGGUAAGUAGAAAUUCACACAGGGUAAACUGUGAGGAAUUCCAAACACUGGAAAGGGAAAAGAGAGAAUUCCAAAGGACCCUGACAAAUUAGAAACAUGGACAGAAAUAAUUCAAUUGGAAAAAUACUAGCUAACAGAUCUUAAUUCAAUUCAAUGCACAAACAUACAAGGAAUGGAAACUUGGAAAGCAGUAAUGCUGAAGACUUAAGAAUGAUAAUGGACCAAAAGUUAGACUUGAGCAAGCAAGUAUGAUUUGGCUCCAAUCGAAUACAGUUUGCCUACACAAAAAGGAUCAUUCCACAGAGCAAGGAGGUAGCAUUUUCUCUCCAUACUGCUCUGGUGAGACUUCACCUAGUAGAUUAUGUUCAAUUUUGGCAACCCAUUCCUAGAGAUGCUGACAAGUUAGAUAUCACUCAAAAGAGCAGAGCAACAAAAUGACCUUCUGCUGUUUUCUGUAUAAUCAGGGUGGAUAAAAA